CCUACGGGAGGCAGCAGUGAGGAAUAUUGGUCAAUGGACGAGAGUCUGAACCAGCCAAGUAGCGUGAAGGAUGACUGCCCUAUGGGUUGUAAACUUCUUUUAUAUGGGAAUAAAAUGUUCCACGUGUGGGAUUUUGUAUGUACCAUAUGAAUAAGGAUCGGCUAACUCCGUGCCAGCAGCCGCGGUAAUACGGAGGAUCCGAGCGUUAUCCGGAUUUAUUGGGUUUAAAGGGAGCGUAGGUGGAUUGUUAAGUCAGUUGUGAAAGUUUGCGGCUCAACCGUAAAAUUGCAGUUGAAACUGGCAGUCUUGAGUACAGUAGAGGUGGGCGGAAUUCGUGGUGUAGCGGUGAAAUGCUUAGAUAUAACGAAGAACUCCGAUUGCGAAGGCAGUUCACUGGACUGUAACUGACACUGAGGCUCGAAAGUGUGGGUAUCAAACAGGAUUAGAUACCCUAGUAGUC
RNAcentral lists this ribosomal RNA (460 nucleotides) under uncultured bacterium. Its description in RNAcentral is "partial 16S ribosomal RNA". It matches the Rfam family "Bacterial small subunit ribosomal RNA", at positions 338 to 795 of the family's 1533-position model. The record is from RNAcentral.